This is a long non-coding RNA of Equus caballus (horse), 2035 nucleotides long. The record is from Ensembl. Lineage: Eukaryota; Metazoa; Chordata; Mammalia; Perissodactyla; Equidae.
GAGAGAGACUGGGAACCAACAAGAUAAGUCGAUGUGGGGCAGAGCCUGGGUGAGGUGAGAACACGGCCGUGAGAGGGGAGGGCGGCUGCGGCGCUUGACAGCCAGCGUGUCUGAUGUUCGGGGAUGGGUGGCAAAGUUGACCUCCUCCCUCCUCCGUCACCCCCACCCCUCAGGAAUGACCCCCACCUUCACUGCCUUGGGGAAUAGUAUUUAGGGACAAAUGAAAGGGAGAGAGAGACUGCAUUCCGCACCUGGGCUGACAAAGUCCAGAGCCGACAGCUCACAGGUGACAGACAGAGAGGAUGUGGAGAGUUUCACAAAAGCCGAAAGUCAGAGGGAGAGGGGAGCAUCCAGGACCCUCGGGGUGGGGGCUCAUCCUUAAAACCCCAGGAUGGUUUUUAAUGCGAGAGGCGAAGGGUGGGCCUGGAAGUUUCGAGAACCCAAGGUCCUGGGUUACUGACACUUGGGUUGCAUGUAAAGCGAGCGGGGAGAUUGGAUGUGGUGCAGGCCCAUGCUGCCCAGCGAGCUUCCCCUCAGCCCCUUCAUGCUCUGGUGCAGGGUUGCAGAAGGGCAGUCCCUCUCAGCCAGCACGACACAGCCACGUGGAGAAGAGCAGUGGCCAAAGGCCGAGAUGGCUGGGGGAGGCCUUGGGGAUUCACCUCACUGACGUUUGGAAGCUUGAAGGAGAGACCCCCCUUCCGAACUCCCCAUCUGGGCCUGUCCUUGGGUGGAAGGACUCUGACCCCAAAAAACAAGGAGUUAAAUGCAGGCCCCAGGGAGAGAGUCAGCCAGUCCUGAGGAGCUGGAAACAAAUGACCCUCUCCCUUGCAAAUCAGGGGGCAGCUCUGGGGAGGGUGGGCAGUGGCGGGGGAGGACAGUAGCCCCAAUAUCUCAUUUGCCCUCUCAAUUUGGACACGCCAAUCCUCUGCACUCUUUGCUCUUGCUGCUUCCCCGUGGGGCUGGCGUUUACGGAGGCCCAUGGUACAGGACAUCACUUAUCCCGGAGCUGUCACCAGCAUGACCUCAGCCCAUCAGCAGGAAACCGCAGCGUUUUACUAUCUCUGUUGCACAGAUGAGGCUCGGUCACAUACCAGGAUCGUUUCAAGGAUCAGAUUAGAUAAUGCACGCAGGGCACUGAGCACGGAAUAGAGUAUACAGAUGACAUCUUAAUCUGCUGGAUGGGGAGGUUCUGCGACUCGGUCAGCAUCACAAGUUGAGGCAGAGACGGUGUCAGGACCAGUUCCGACUCCCACCGGCAGCUUCGACAGCAUGCCUCACUGCGCCUCCAUUCAGCACACGUUCAUUCAGUCCUGCUCUGUGCCUGGCCCCAACCUGAGGCAAACAGAACUAGACCCAGGGACCCUGCCCUGUCUCUUUCCCCAGAGACAGCGCCUGGCAGGGCUAUUCCUGGGCUUCAAGACCCUCCUGGUCCCCCCCUGCCCCCCACGCAGGGCCAUCCCCUGGGCUCCGGUCCAGCUUUCUCUGUUCCCUUGGAGGGAGCGCCAGGAAUGGGAGGCGGCAGGCGGCCAGGGGCACAGGGCGGGCCGGGAGGAAGGGCCCCAGGUCUGGUUCAUUUCCUGGCAUCCCUGUUUGCCGUGUGCCCCUGGCUUCUGGUGGCUGUUUCCGGCCCGCCCACAGCCUCCCUGGCUGAGUGGGUAGCUGGCCUGGGACUGGAAUUCUCCCACUGUCCUCAGUUUCAGCUGUCUGUCAGCUGGGCCCUCCCCUCAGAGCCCAACAGGUCCAGAGGAGAAUCCUGCUCCCCCACCGGCUGCAUGACCUUGGGCAUGUCACUUUGCCAGUCUGGCCCUUCAUUUCUUCUUCUGGAAAGGGGAUAAUGGGACUGAUCUCACAGGCUUGUCAUGAAGAAUAAAGGACAUGGUAUACAUAAAGGGCCUGGCACAAUGAGACGCCCAAUAAAAACUGUUAUCCAUUUUCUGAGCCAGCUCUCUCCAUUUUCCUCCUCCAGGAAGUCUUCCACGAUGCCCACUUUCCCUUGUCUCCCCAUCCCUGUGUUGGGCUCCCAGUCUGAACCCUG